CCACCCGCACGACCCUGCCUCCCAAUCCCAUCUCCUCCGCGCGCUGCCACCUCCUGCCCCGCCCCGCCUCACCGUGCGCCGCUGAGCCGCCGUUCGUCGCCAGCACCCGCGGAUCCGGCCGCCCCUCACCUUCCCAUUUGGCUGCACCUCCCAGCGUCGCCGCCCCUGCGAAGCUCCACCGUUGGAGGAUCUCCUCCGCCUGGAUCCACAUCCCCAUGGCCGGAACGGGACUUCCUCAAGCCCCCCCCCCCCCCCCGGAUGCACGCUGUUGCUGGUGGAGUUGCGCUGGUGGAGUUGGAGCACGCCGGCGCUCUGGCCGCCCUCUUCCUCCCUGUUCCCUCCCAUCCCUCCUACUACAGCCAGGGCUGUAGCCGCCCUCUUCUCUCCUCGUACCCCUCUUCCUCCCUGUUCCUUCUCACCCCUUCUCCCGCAGGCUCCAGCUGUGGUGGUGGGGGUGAGCAGCUGCCCUCCGGUGGCCUGGGGAGUGAGGAGGGCGCCAUUCUAAAGCACGAGAGCUCGGCGCAUGGCGACAGUAUAGAUCGGCUACAGCAGCGGCAACGGCCCAAUGGCGAAAGGGGAUGGCUGCAUGAUGAUCUUGUUCUGAUCAAUUCUGAAAUAGGAAUGGAGGACUACUAUGGUGGUCGCUGUUGAGGAUGCUGGAUUACUUGACAGUAGGCUGGUGAGCAGGACGACGACCAUAGUUCAGGGAGCGAUUGAUUUCAAGAGAGAUCAUUGGGGACGAGUUCAUAACCAUGUUACUGUCAAGUUUUAGCAAUAUGGUCCAGAGAGCGGUUUCAGAAGAGGUAGAGAAAGAGUUGUUCAGACAAUUCAGUGCAGAAGCAACACCUCCAAGGUGAGAAAUAUGUUUCUGUUUAGCCUUCUUUGCUAGCUGUGUCCCUCUGUUUUUUUUACUGAACUGUGCUCCUCUGUUUGGAUGAUUAUUGGAGAGAAAGAGAGAUGAUAUGGAGACCACGAGUAUGUGUGUAUGGAUCGGGGAGUGGUAGAUUUUGGGCCAAAUACAUUAUAACCGGCAACCAACUUCAUAAACAUAUUCAUUACCCUCUCCUUUGAAAUGAAUUUUUGCUUGGAACAUUUCUUAUUUCUUUAUCUGUUAGUGCUUGAUUCUAUCUCUGCUCUGUCUGAGGCCACCGGCGCCGAUGUGACCGAGGUGGAGGCGACCGGCAAGAGGGAGGCUAGCGCGACCAAUUUCCUCGAGCUGUUCAACUUAUUAGUCCUUGCAAUUCCAAAUUCACAUAGGUAUGUAGGCUGUAACGGCACCGCUGUAGCCAUCGCUGCCUUCUCCAAUCCUUGGUAGCAGAUUAAUGCAUAGUAGGUGAGUGCUUCAGGCUGUAGAUUUGGCUCGCUUCCUUAGUACCUCAUGUCUCAUGUGGUUAAAGCUAUGCGAGUAAUUAUGAAGGCUUGAUCAUCAGGAAACAUCCAUGUCAAUUAUGUGUUUGCCGAAUUUCCUUAAGCAUAUGGGAUUCAGUUGUUUGAUGAA
Long non-coding RNA from Triticum aestivum (bread wheat), 1498 nucleotides. RefSeq lists it as uncharacterized. NCBI's taxonomy places the organism in Eukaryota, Viridiplantae, Streptophyta, Magnoliopsida, Poales, Poaceae. The record is from RefSeq and is a predicted model, not a curated record. The transcript has 3 exons.